UGCACCGAUGAUAACUUACUUGAUGGAUCUUAUCCAAUCGAUAGGUAGGUAUGUUGGAAUCUCAUGGCAAGAAAUUGGGUUUAAGGGUUAUGGAUGCACAAGUAGUAUCUCUACUUAGUGCGAAUUUUUGGGCUAGCAAAGGAUCUAAAGCAAGGACCACAUGUUAGAGGAUCCAUGACAAUAUAAAUUCUGUAUGAAUGUAAACAAAUAAAAUCAUUAUGCUGUCUUCCUUGUCCAACAUAAACACUUCGAUCAUUAUAUAAUAUUUGGUGAGGUCUCACAAUCAUAAAAAUGUCCAAGAUAGUAUAUUUUAUUUAAAUCUCCUCCACUCUAUCAUAAUUUUGCAUGGGUUGUAUCAAUGACUAAUGCUAUGUUUGGUCACUCCCAACAACUUUUAUCUAUCAUACUUUUCUAUGUGAAGUCAUU
RNAcentral lists this long non-coding RNA (426 nucleotides) under Hordeum vulgare. Its description in RNAcentral is "long non-coding RNA (HVUL_LNC019219)". The record is from RNAcentral. Lineage: Eukaryota; Viridiplantae; Streptophyta; Magnoliopsida; Poales; Poaceae.